GCACUACUGAGGAGUCCCAUACCAGGAUGAAACGGCCGUCCAGUGC
Molecule: non-coding RNA, 46 nt
Organism: Schistosoma mattheei
Lineage: Eukaryota; Metazoa; Platyhelminthes; Trematoda; Strigeidida; Schistosomatidae
Source: Rfam